GAAAUGCGAUAAGUAAUGUGAAUUGCAGAAUUCAGUGAAUCAUCGAAUCUUUGAACGCACCUUGCGCUCCUUGGUAUUCCGAGGAGCAUGCCUGUUUGAGUGUCAUGGAAUUCUCAACUCUAUUUGCUUUUGUGAAUAGAGCUUGGAUUUGGAGGUUUAUUGCUGGUACUUGUGAUCGGCUCCUCUUGAAUGCAUUAGCUCGAACAUUUGCGGAUCAGCUAUCGGUGUGAUAAUUGUCUACGCCGUUGCAGUGAAUCAUAUCAAUGGGCUCGGCUUCCAAUCGUCCUUUACUGGACAAUGACUUUGACCUUUGACCUCAAAUCAGGUAGGAUUACCCGCUGAACUUAAGC
RNAcentral lists this unclassified non-coding RNA (350 nucleotides) under plant metagenome. RNAcentral describes it as "partial contains 5.8S ribosomal RNA, internal transcribed spacer 2, and large subunit ribosomal RNA". The stretch from base 1 to 105 matches the Rfam family "5.8S ribosomal RNA", at positions 50 to 154 of the family's 154-position model. The record is from RNAcentral.